AGUUUCUACUUUACAUGCCAAGACAACUUGUAUUGCCCUUAUGCAGUUCACUCAUCGCCGGGACAAGGUUCGAGAAACUAUCUUAUUUUAAGUCGUUCCUCAGUUGUGAGAUGACGAUCUUCUCCGGUACCUGUUCCGGAUUGUAGCACUACUGUUAGGAUCAUCCUCAACAACCUGCAGAAAAAGCUCAACAAAUGAGAAGAAACAUGGUGCAACUUUUUUCGUUUCAGAUGGAAAACAUGGAUGCCAUUUUACAGUGAGAGCAAUUAGAAUCUGUUCACCAGGAGAUUCAAAAAUUACACAACACAUUAUUUGCUACAUAAGUUUAUUUUAAAAAAAAUUAUUUGACUUCCAAUUUCCUUGAUGAUAAUCAUCUAGCACUUUCUUGAU
Molecule: long non-coding RNA, 390 nt
Filed under: Prunus persica (peach)
Lineage: Eukaryota; Viridiplantae; Streptophyta; Magnoliopsida; Rosales; Rosaceae
Description: long non-coding RNA (PPER_LNC002493)
Source: RNAcentral